GAUGAACGCUGGCGGCGUGCUUAACACAUGCAAGUCGAACGGUGAAGGCGGAGCUUGCUCUGCUGGAUCAGUGGCGAACGGGUGAGUAACACGUGAGCAAUCUGCCCCUGACUCUGGGAUAAGCGCUGGAAACGGCGUCUAAUACUGGAUACGAGCUGCGAAGGCAUCUUCAGCAGCUGGAAAGAACUUCGGUCAGGGAUGAGCUCGCGGCCUAUCAGCUUGUUGGUGAGGUAACGGCUCACCAAGGCGUCGACGGGUAGCCGGCCUGAGAGGGUGACCGGCCACACUGGGACUGAGACACGGCCCAGACUCCUACGGGAGGCAGCAGUGGGGAAUAUUGCACAAUGGGCGAAAGCCUGAUGCAGAAACGCCGCGUGAGGGACGACGGCCUUCGGGUUGUAAACCUCUUUUAGCAGGGAAGAAGAGAAAGUGACGGUACCUGCAGAAAAAGCGCCGGCUAACUACGUG
Molecule: ribosomal RNA, 468 nt
Filed under: uncultured bacterium
Lineage: Bacteria
Description: partial 16S ribosomal RNA
Rfam family: Bacterial small subunit ribosomal RNA
Source: RNAcentral